Molecule: long non-coding RNA, 4756 nt
Organism: Dromaius novaehollandiae (emu)
Lineage: Eukaryota; Metazoa; Chordata; Aves; Casuariiformes; Dromaiidae
Exons: 9
Source: RefSeq, a predicted model, not a curated record
AACCGAGGAUCAUGAAUAUACAGAAGUUAGCACCUUCCUAACAUCCCUCGGCUAUCUUAUUUCCAGAGAAUUACAGUAUGAAAACAAUGGGAUUAGAGCACUAUAUACUCCAAUCCUCUCACCCCCGAUCCCCAAAGUGAAUCUAAACAGAGCUGGAUUUGCUUCUGGUAUAGCUGAAAUUAAGACAAAGGGGUAUGUCUGAGAUAAUUUUUUUUUCCUGUAAAGCUUAAUCUUAGAAAAUGCCUGUCUGUGCUACAGAAAUGGAUUGCAUAUAAUAUGACAACCAUCUUUUAUAGAGGCAAACCAGACUCGUUGAGCUCUAACAUUGUAAAGAAAAAGGCUUUACAGGUAUAAUUAACCUGCGGAAUGUCCUUCCACAAGAUACUCCUGAAGUAUUGGCGUUAAUACCAUCUGUCUUCAUAAUUCAGGGCAUCAGUGGCCUACCAGCUGAGAUCAAGAAGCAAUCUACUGUCUCUCUUCAUGGCAUAUCUCUGCUGAAUGAAUUAAGAGGUCAUUGUGACUUUUUUAGCAAUGGUCAAUGUUGAAGAUGGAGGAGGUUUUGGAUUCUAAGGGAAAAUGUGCAGUUAUUUCCAGAAAUACUCAAGGGGGUCGCUGCUCGGCAUGUGGACAAGAAGAAAUCUCCUGCAUGUGUCAGCAAGACUCAUAAGCAGAAAGAGAUUGGUACGUCAGCAAGAAAAGUUUUCUUCCUGGGGAGAAAUACAAGCAAACAUGAAGACAAGAGGACUCAGCGUGAUCCAUGUAAUGCUCUCCUUUCCCUGACGUGUACUCAAGAAUCAGCUAUCUCACAGCUCCUGCGCUUAAGCCACAGAAAAAGUAGGACACUGGCACCAUAGAAACCAUUUGCCCCACACCUCUGUGCGGUUCCUGCAGGCCUGGGAGGAGAUCUGCCUGGGGACCCGCAACGUCCUGUCCCGAGCUCCCUGAGGUGCGUUACAACUGCGAACACUGCCUCUUUCUCAGAGCAGCGUUUAAGCAUACAACACAUUGCCCAGCUCGUGCCCAGGCACAUGCGGAGCAUGGGCAAGUGGGAAGUCCUUCGGGAAUAAACACAGGGAGCUUCUGCUGAUGAACCUGCAGGGCCUAAAAGCUUCUUGAGCACCUACUUGCUGUCCCUUGGCCAGUAUGGAGCAUUUGUACCGUGAGGAAUCAGGUUAAGUUUUGGGGACCCAGAAGUGAAAUCCAUCUAAAAAAGCAUCUUCCUUUGUAAGCCAACCUCCCCUGGCUGGCAGAUUGGGAAUUUUGCCUUCCCUAAUGGAAGCUGAGCUUUCUGAUUGCUGUCUGAAUAAAUAGGAACUUGAUGAAGCCACCUUUAUACUGAACAAUCCCAUACAUCAGCAGCCAUCCCUUCGAAUUCAAGGGCUUUAUUGGUGCUAAGAGAGGAUAUCAGAAACCUGGUCUUAAAUCACAUCUUCCAGGUAAUAAGCAGAAAUGGAAGAGAAAAGAAAGCAGUAGACUUAUGGGAUUUAAGGAGUUUCUUCUGAGAAAAAAAAAUCCAUCCUGCUGCUGAUGGCCAGAUGCUCAUGUGUAUCUGGAGAUGUGCAAAUGAAAGCAGGGUGUAAAGCUGUUAGCAGUGGUUCAUGGCAACAGACCAGCUCCUGUCAAGGAAAAGCAGGUUAGGUAAACUUUUCAGAUGUUUAGAGGUGAAUCUUUUCAUUUGUGCACAGCCUUCGUUUGACCCAACGAUUUCACAUCAUUAUCAAUUGCUUUGUUCGUCCAUAUCAAACUUCCUUCUUGCGCUUUAUUGGUUUUUGCUCUUGCUGACCUCUUCCAGCAGUUUACUUUCUAAGACCCUGAAAGCUUCAUCAUGACUGUUCACUACACCUCAGCUAGAGCUGAGAUUAAAAGUUAAAAAAGAAAAAGAGUGACUGCAAUAGCUGAGAAGAGAGAAGAGCUUUCAGCAGCAGCCUGGUGGCACUCUGGGGCUUUCCUCCAAUGCAGAAAUGUAUGGACUUGCACCUCCACUGCCAUGCAGAUGUCUUCAGGAUGACAGAGAUCAGCAAAUAACUUGUGAUCCAAAAAGGAAACAGCACUGCUAGCAACAGGACUGCUGUUCAACGUUGGUGGUGACGGCCAGAAUCAUUCCAGUAACCAGCAGAGGGGAAAAACAUGCACACGCAGAGCCCUCUCCCACCUGUGGCAGCCAGAGCACCUUUCCGACGUCCCUCCUCACCUGAUGACACAAUCCAUCAGCGCCCACUGAAAUCAAAUGCAGCUAAUUGGAAGGUGAUGACAGCCCAGGGACUGCUGGAUUUGCAUGCUAAUUCUUCUAUUUUAGUGUCACACAACAAACUAAAGCUGCCACUGAGGAAGCGAGAAGUCUGAGAUUGAUCCUGACCCAGUAGUAUUAUAUGUAGGUCCUAUGAGAACAAUAUUUGCUCUUGAUGACCAUUGGAACAUACUAAUUUAAAGAACUCUAACAUACUCUCCAAAGAACGCCUUCCACAUUUUUUUCACAUGUGAGAUCUCCCAGACUUUCAAAGCCAUCAGUAAAGUUCGAACUACUUUUUAGUUUGCAUCUUUUCUCCUCUGAGGUUCAAAGUGGCAGCAGCACCACCUCGCCAUCCAUCUGGGAUCCGACUCCUUCAUCGAGCAGAGGGCUGCGUACCUGUCUCAGCCAGAGGCCUUGUGGCUUUCAGCAGCUGAACACUUUGGGAUGCAACUGAACCAGGGUUUUCAGCUGGACAACGUCUGAACUAACUGCAAAUCACAAUGUCACCAUGAAUGUCCACUGGCAAACUGGAUAAGAAAGAGUGUCACAGUGCAGGACAACCUAGAAGAUGACAGAUAUUUCCAGGCAUAGCAAUGAUGAGAUCAAAUUCCCCUCAACCUGCCUUGUUUGCUGAUCUUUUAAUCAGAUUCAACUUCACUGCAGCUACAGCACAAGGUUCCCUGACAAUGUAUGACAACGUGUGACAGAAAAAUAUUUUGAUUUUUUUCUGACCAUUUGAUGCUAUUUCAGAUAUAUCUGAAGCCCCAAUAGCAUCUGUUAAAUCUACCAGACUAUUUUAGUGGAGGGUUUUAUAUGUGCAUAAUUAAACAGGAGUGUUUGGGGUUUGUGUUCACUUGAUUGUAGUGGAAUCCAAACAGGAAAGCCGGGAAAUGAUCUAAACCCUUUGAGGUUAACGUGCCAUUAAAGCGCAUCAAUGACCAAAGAGGACAUUAUUAAAAAGCAGCCAGCCUAGCUCAAUAAGAACCACUAUGUGAAGCAAGAGCCCAUGGAACAACACCCAGGGCUGCACGCAAUCCCGCAGGGAUGUGUAUUUCAUCCCCUGGCUUCGUCUCUCCAAAUUUCCUCUGAACCGCUCCUGAGCUGCAUUCUUGAAAAAGAAAAAUGCCAGCAACUACCGAAUGCGUCUUAUCAACCUUUUCCCUACAAUCUGUUUCGUAUUCCUCUCACACCUUUGUUCUCACAGUGACUUGGGGAAAUGCUUGAAUCAAAGAUAAGGGAGAACAAGCAAAGGAAUGAAGAAAGAGACAAACAACAAAACAUCCCCCUUCCCAAACUUUUUGACUAAACUCCUCCGUGAAUCAUGUGUAUGAUUACAGCAAAGUUAAAACUACCUUCUUCUUCUCCAGUACUUAAUUCCUACUUUUAAAAUCAGGAUCCCUUUGAUCUUGAGAACUGAAAUGAUCUGGAAAUGAAACAGCCAUUGCUUUGCAGAAAAUCUGGAUAGGGUCCCAGACAUGGCUUUUACCUGGAAGGCUUCCAAAAUGGGACAAACUCUCUCUAGCUUGAGAACAAAUUGCAAGAGUUUUUUCUGUGUCUACUUCAGCUGUGGAGCACAGGCCCUGAUGUCUGCUAGUUCCCCAGAGAGCAGAUGUCAUAAUCUCUAAGGUGAACUGUGAAAAGUAUUGCCCCAUUUUUCCCCCCUGCCUCUCCUCUAAGGGUCACAGACUGGGAGAAUUUUAUUAAUGUGAAGACCUGAAGUUCUGGGCAGAAUUUUAAGUUGAGGAGAUGUUUGGUUGUAAUCCAGGCUAGAUCCAGCCAUGUGAGGGGUGGAGAGGGCAGAUGACCAGAAGAAUAUGUAGCAUUUGGAUUCUGUUUCAGGCACAGAAAUAUUGGACUGAUUUUGCGUGACCUGGUCCCAGAGCCAAACAGACUGUCAGUGUUGUUAAGAGACACAGAAGCUUGCUUUGCCCUAGUUAAGAAGUCCUGCUGAGAAAUCAAGCAUGUCUAUUUCUUUGAGUGUAUUUAUUUUAAUUAAUAUAUUUGCAUGUGUUGCAUGCAUACUUCAUUUAUAUUGGGAUUAUAAGUCCACCUGGUACUUGAAUUGGGAGAGUUUGAACUGGCAGACACCUACAUCAUGCUGUGUUACGCAGACAUGGACUGAUCCUACAAGGUCAGAUAGGUUGCUGGAUAGAGACAGUGUCUUUUCAGCUGUCUUUUUAGAGCUGGAAGAACUUGUCAAAGCAACCAAGACAAUCACCUUGCUUAUGAUCAGGAAGUUCUCACAGUGCCACUAUUUUAUCUUACAAAAUGAGUAAGAGGUCCAUAGCUGAAGGAUGGCAGUCCAUAAUAAAGAAACCUCUCGCUGUGGUGGAUGGCCAGUCACUGCACAGUGCAACACCACCGAUCUAGGAAGCGUAAAGGAGAAAGGAUGGCUGGGCAUCAAUGGUAAACAGAAAAUGUACUGAACUACCAUAGUUUGCUGAGAUAAUGAGAAUCACUUUCCCUUGAUUGUGUUAUUAAGGAACUAAAGAAUAACUAUCUGUUUUAAUAAAAGCCUUUUCCUUC